GUUGCAUCAGACAGCAAGCAGCCGGUCGGGCUGCCAGGGUUUCUAGGAAGAUAGGAAGGGUUUGAGAUCCUCUGUGGUCGCCUGGGAGCUUUGGCUGUCACUCACGGUGUUUACAUGCCGGUAACGCGAUCCCCUAAAAUAUCAAGCUUGCACCCAUCAGAGGAGGGCCAUAGCCACAGGUGAAAUUCCCUGAACGCCAUUGCUCCUGUCCUCACUCCACGCCCUGACCCAGGCGGGACUAACUGAACUGGACUUCGUCUGCUUUAUUAAUGGCAAGGGCCCUGAAGGAAUCAGCUGGGUUCGAUUUCUCUUCCCAAGUACAAGAAUGCCCCCUGAGGAAUUUCUCACUCUGUGAAAGUGCAGAACUAAUUUCCCCUGACAAGUGCUAUUGCCGGUUCCCAAAAGGGUUUGGAAGGAUCCCAGCAGAAAUGUUCAGUGGUUUCCAAAUCUCUUUACCCCAGCAGCUGGACACACAGACCCUGAGCUAGGAGCCCCUUUGGGCAUCCAGAACUUCUUGGUGGGUGGACACACGUCCUUGACACAUAGGUCUUCCUUUUGUCGUAUCUCAGGCCCCUUGUUAUGAAGACUUUGGAUAUUAGCCAGAAAAUGCACAACCACAAAUUCAUGCACACAUAUAUAUUGAGCAGCACACAUAUACAAUGAGUUCUCUGGGUCCAAAUGGCUUUAGCAACUCAGGUCAGUGGAAAAGUCGUUCUUACGUUCCCUCACUCUUCCGGCCUCUGGGCCAUUCUUCCUCAAAGAGAGAAAAUAAUGCUGUAUCUAGAAGGGAUAGGACAAGCUAAGCUGGUGGGUGGGAUAUUCAAGAAGAAUGAGAGCACUGAUUUGGAAUCUAGUUUUUAAAGGGAUUUUCAAGGACAUAAUCUGAAUCCCAUGG
Long non-coding RNA from Homo sapiens (human), 895 nucleotides. Lineage: Eukaryota; Metazoa; Chordata; Mammalia; Primates; Hominidae. The record is from Ensembl.